This 295-nucleotide ribosomal RNA is filed under the name uncultured prokaryote. RNAcentral's name for it is "partial 16S ribosomal RNA". It matches the Rfam family "Bacterial small subunit ribosomal RNA", at positions 355 to 641 of the family's 1533-position model. The record is from RNAcentral.
UGAGGAAUUUUGCGCAAUGGGAGCAAUCCUGACGCAGCAACGCCGCGUGGGUGAUGAAGGCCUUCGGGUCGUAAAGCCCUGUCAGGUGGGAAGAAUGUCCCGGGACUGAACAGGUAUUGGGAGUGACGGUACCACCAGAGGAAGCACCGGCUAACUCCGUGCCAGCAGCCGCGGUAAUACGGAGGGUGCAAGCGUUAUUCGGAAUUACUGGGCGUAAAGCGCGUGUAGGCGGUCCUGCAAGUCUGAUGUGAAAGCCCCGGGCUUAACCCGGGAAGUGCAUUGGAAACUGUGGGGC